UACGUAGGUGGCAAGCGUUGUCCGGAUUUACUGGGCGUAAAGAGCGCGCAGGCGGUCGUUCAAGUCGCGUGUGAAAGCCCCCGGCUCAACUGGGGAGGGUCACGCGAUACUGAUCGACUCGAAGGCAGGAGAGAGAAGUGGAAUUCCCGGUGUAGUGGUGAAAUGCGCAGAUAUCGGGAGGAACACCGAUGGCGAAGGCAGGUCUCUGGGCUGACACUGACGCUCAUGCACGAAAGCGUGGGGAGCAAACAGG
Molecule: ribosomal RNA, 253 nt
Filed under: uncultured bacterium
Lineage: Bacteria
Description: partial 16S ribosomal RNA
Rfam family: Bacterial small subunit ribosomal RNA
Source: RNAcentral